CGGGUGAGUAAUGUCUGGGAAACUGCCCGAUGGAGGGGGAUAACUACUGGAAACGGUAGCUAAUACCGCAUAACAUCGCAAGACCAAAGAGGGGGGCCUUCGGGCCUCUUGCCAUCGGAUGUGCCCAGAUGGGAUUAGCUAGUAGGUGGGGCAACGGCUCACCUAGGCGACGAUCCCUAGCUGGUCUGAGAGGAUGACCAGCCACACUGGAACUGAGACACGGUCCAG
RNAcentral lists this ribosomal RNA (228 nucleotides) under uncultured bacterium. RNAcentral's name for it is "partial 16S ribosomal RNA". It matches the Rfam family "Bacterial small subunit ribosomal RNA", at positions 103 to 334 of the family's 1533-position model. The record is from RNAcentral.